GCUGGCGUGGCUCAACGGAAGAGCAGCGCAUUCGUAAUGCGCAGGUUCGGGGUUCGACUCCCCGCGCCAGCU
This 72-nucleotide transfer RNA is filed under the name bacterium. Its description in RNAcentral is "tRNA-Thr". It matches the Rfam family "tRNA". Rfam says of the family: Transfer RNA (tRNA) molecules are approximately 80 nucleotides in length. Their secondary structure includes four short double-helical elements and three loops (D, anti-codon, and T loops). The record is from RNAcentral. RNAcentral also lists the same sequence under 1 other name.